GAUACGGGCAUAACUUGAGUUGCUUAGGGGAGACUGGAAAUUCUGGUGUAGCGGUGGAAUGCGCAGAUAUCAGGAGGAACACCGAUGGCGAAGGCAGGUCUCGGGCAGUAACUGACGCUGAGGAGCGAAAGCAUGGGGGAGCGAACAGGAUUAGAUACCCUGUAGUCCAUGCCGUAAACGGUGGGCGCUAGGUGUAGGGGUCUUCCACGACUUCUGUGCCGUGCUAACGCAUUAAGCGCCCCGCCUGGGGAGUACGGCCGCAAGGCUAAAACUCAAAGGAAUGACGGGGGCCCGCACAAGCGGCGGAGCAUGUGGAUUAAUUCGAUGCAACGCGAAGAACCUACCUGGGCUUGACAUACACCGGACCGGUACAGAGAUGUAUCUUCCCUUUGUGGCUGGUGUCAGGUGGUGCAUGGUUGUCGUCAGCUCGUGUCGUGAGAUGUUGGGUUAAGUCCCGCAACGGCGCAACCCUUGUCUUAUGUUGCCAGCACAUCUAUGGUGGGGACUCAUGAGAGACUGCCGGGUUAACUCGGAGGAAGGUGGGGAUGACGUCAAAUCAUCAUGCCCCUUAUGUCCAGGGCUCACACAUGCUACAAUGGUCGGUACAACGCGCUGCGAGCCUGUGAGGGUGAGCGAAUCGCUAAAGCCGGCCUCAGUUCGGAUUGGGGUCUGCAACUCGACCCCAUGAAGUCGGAGUCGCUAUAAUCGCAGAUCAGCAACGCUGCGGUGAAUACGUUCCCGGGCCUUGUACACACCGCCCGU
RNAcentral lists this ribosomal RNA (762 nucleotides) under uncultured Corynebacterium sp. Its description in RNAcentral is "bacterial SSU rRNA". It matches the Rfam family "Bacterial small subunit ribosomal RNA", at positions 629 to 1397 of the family's 1533-position model. The record is from RNAcentral. Lineage: Bacteria; Bacillati; Actinomycetota; Actinomycetes; Mycobacteriales; Corynebacteriaceae.